CGAAGAGCCUGGCAGUGGGACUUGUCCCUGCCCUGCCACAUGGAAGGACGGGGUCAUUCUGGGGGCCUCGUUCCCAUGCCUGCUCCUCGCUCCAUCUUUCCCCUCUUCUCUCUUCCUGUUUCUGCUUCUUUGGCUCUGCUUUCUCUUGGUUUUGGUGGAGAGUUGAGCUCAUUUCACACAUGUGAUCACUUGAUGUAGUGCAUUCCUAACUUUUCAGGUCUGGGGUGUUAACGACAGCAGGCUCUGUUCUGGCCUUUAGCAGGUAUUUUCUCACCAUUUGAAUUCUUCUGGCGUGUACUUCAAUGCGUUCUUCUAAAGUAUCUUCACUUGCCUUUCUCGCCUUCAAAGGAGCUGGUGCUCAGAGUGAGAAAUAGGAGCAGCACCUUGGUGUGUGAAGUGAAUGGUGAGAGCUAAGCAUCUUCUUACCUGAGGGGUGGAUGGAGCGGGGACAACAAGGGGUUACUGAUCCCUGGUGCUUGGGGAAGAUCCGAUGAUGACUGUUUCUACAGUGGCUUAAGGCAGCUGGCUCCCUGUGCCCCUCUCUUCACCUUCGGGGAGGAAACGUCAUCACCACAGAGCAUGAAUUUGCCCGUGGAGUCUUUCUUCCCUGCUCAUACCCAUGGCUGUGAGGGACCCCAGCUGACCACAGACCUCAUGCCUUUGGCCUGGGGGCAGACAGAAGGAAUGCAAGUGUUUUGCUCCGGCUGUUGACCCUUCUGUGGUCCGGAGGUCAGUUGCCUCUGAUGGGAAACCUAACACUCUGGCUACAUAGUGGGUGAGGUCUGGGCUGAGGGAAGUUUUCUUGGGG
This 808-nucleotide long non-coding RNA is filed under the name Heterocephalus glaber (naked mole-rat). Its description in RNAcentral is "lncRNA (ENSHGLG00100045241.1)". The record is from RNAcentral. Lineage: Eukaryota; Metazoa; Chordata; Mammalia; Rodentia; Bathyergidae.